CGUGCUUAACACAUGCAAGUCGAACGGUAAGGCUCCAGCUUGCUGGGGUACACGAGUGGCGAACGGGUGAGUAACACGUGGGUGACCUGCCCUGCACUUCGGGAUAAGCCUGGGAAACUGGGUCUAAUACCGGAUAGGACCGCACCGUGAGGGUGUGGUGGAAAGUUUUUUCGGUGUGGGAUGGGCCCGCGGCCUAUCAGCUUGUUGGUGGGGUAAUGGCCUACCAAGGCGGCGACGGGUAGCCGGCCUGAGAGGGUGGACGGCCACAUUGGGACUGAGACACGGCCCAGACUCCUACGGGAGGCAGCAGUGGGGAAUAUUGCACAAUGGGCGGAAGCCUGAUGCAGCGACGCCGCGUGGGGGAUGACGGCCUUCGGGUUGUAAACUCCUUUCACCAUCGACGAAGGGUUUCUGACGGUAGAUGGAGAAGAAGCACCGGCUAACUACGUGCCAGCAGCCGCGGUAAUACGUAGGGUGCGAGCGUUGUCCGGAAUUACUGGGCGUAAAGAGCUCGUAGGUGGUUUGUCGCGUCGUCUGUGAAAUUCCGGGGCUUAACUCCGGGCGUGCAGGCGAUACGGGCAUAACUUGAGUACUGUAGGGGAGACUGGAAUUCCUGGUGUAGCGGUGAAAUGCGCAGAUAUCAGGAGGAACACCGGUGGCGAAGGCGGGUCUCUGGGCAGUAACUGACGCUGAGGAGCGAAAGCAUGGGGAGCGAACAGGAUUAGAUACCCURGUAGUCC
Molecule: ribosomal RNA, 740 nt
Filed under: Corynebacterium amycolatum
Lineage: Bacteria; Bacillati; Actinomycetota; Actinomycetes; Mycobacteriales; Corynebacteriaceae
Description: bacterial SSU rRNA
Rfam family: Bacterial small subunit ribosomal RNA
Source: RNAcentral